Molecule: ribosomal RNA, 397 nt
Filed under: uncultured bacterium
Lineage: Bacteria
Description: partial 16S ribosomal RNA
Rfam family: Bacterial small subunit ribosomal RNA
Source: RNAcentral
AUACGAAGGGUGCAAGCGUUACUCGGAAUUACUGGGCGUAAAGCGUGCGUAGGUGGUUGUUUAAGUCUGUCGUGAAAGCCCUGGGCUCAACCUGGGAAUGGCGAUGGAAACUGGGCGACUAGAGUGUGGCAGAGGGUAGUGGAAUUCCUGGUGUAGCAGUGAAAUGCGUAGAGAUCAGGAGGAACAUCCGUGGCGAAGGCGACUGCCUGGGCCAACACUGACGCUGAGGCACGAAAGCGUGGGGAGCAAACAGGAUUAGAUACCCUGGUAGUCCACGCCCUAAACGAUGCGAACUGGAUGUUGGGUGCAAUUUGGCACGCAGUAUCGAAGCUAACGCGUUAAGUUCGCCGCCUGGGGAGUACGGUCGCAAGACUGAAACUCAAAGGAAUUGACGGGG